This is a non-coding RNA of Rattus norvegicus (Norway rat), 242 nucleotides long. The record is from RefSeq and is a predicted model, not a curated record. Lineage: Eukaryota; Metazoa; Chordata; Mammalia; Rodentia; Muridae.
ACUCUUAAAACCUAAUGAGUAGGGGGUUGUAGAAAUGGCUCAGUGGUUAAGAGCUCUGUCUGUUCUUCCAGAUGUCCUGACUUUAAUUCCCAGAAACCACGUGGUGGCUCACAAUCAUCUAUCAUAGCAUCUGAUGCCAUCCUGUGGCAUGCAGGUCCGCUGUCCUACUCUUGUGACUACCUCAAAGAAAGGAAUUAAAAACGGAAAGAAAAGAAAAAAAAUACAUCAAGUCCAAAUUAUAC